CAUAACUACAAGGAUUUGUUUGUAGCAUUUUCUGCUCAAUGAAUCUGUUUAAAUAGCCGCAGUACCCUGACUGUGCAAAGGUAGCAUAAUCAGUUGGCUUAUAAUUGAAGUCUGGAAUGAAAGAAUAUAUGGGUGGUUACUGUUUCGGGGGACAUCUAUGAAGUUACUUAAAAAGUGCAAAUUCUUUUGGAUAUACAUAAGACGAGAAGACCCUGGAAAUUUACACAUUUUGUUGGGGCGACAUAGUAACAAUUAACUUAUUGUAUUUUACUUGAAAUCAGUUGUUAGAUGGAAAAAAUUACUCCAGGGAUAACAGCAUAAUUUAUUAAAGUUUGUGACCUCGAUGUUGGACUAGGGUGGAUUAUUGUUUAGAAGGCAAGAUCCCAGGUUCUGUUCGAACUAUAAUCCCUACG
RNAcentral lists this ribosomal RNA (413 nucleotides) under Neohelix major. RNAcentral's name for it is "partial large subunit ribosomal RNA". It matches the Rfam family "Archaeal large subunit ribosomal RNA", at positions 1918 to 2669 of the family's 2987-position model. The record is from RNAcentral. Lineage: Eukaryota; Metazoa; Mollusca; Gastropoda; Stylommatophora; Polygyridae.